GCCUGGGUGGCUCAGUCGGUUGAGCAUCUGACUUCGGCUCAGGUCAUGAUCUCGCGGUCUGUGAGUUCGAGCCCCGCAUCAGGCU
Molecule: transfer RNA, 85 nt
Filed under: Felis catus (domestic cat)
Lineage: Eukaryota; Metazoa; Chordata; Mammalia; Carnivora; Felidae
Also listed under: 2 other names
Rfam family: tRNA
About the family: Transfer RNA (tRNA) molecules are approximately 80 nucleotides in length. Their secondary structure includes four short double-helical elements and three loops (D, anti-codon, and T loops). Further hydrogen bonds mediate the characteristic L-shaped molecular structure. tRNAs have two regions of fundamental functional importance: the anti-codon, which is responsible for specific mRNA codon recognition, and the 3' end, to which the tRNAs corresponding amino acid is attached (by aminoacyl-tRNA synthetases). tRNAs cope with the degeneracy of the genetic code in two manners: having more than one tRNA (with a specific anti-codon) for a particular amino acid; and 'wobble' base-pairing, i.e. permitting non-standard base-pairing at the 3rd anti-codon position.
Source: Rfam by way of RNAcentral